AUUGAACGCUGGCGGCAUGCCUUACACAUGCAAGUCGAACGGUAGAGUAGCAAUACUUGAGAGUGGCGAACGGGUGAGUAAUAUAUCGGAACGUGCCCAGUCGUGGGGGAUAACGUAGCGAAAGCUACGCUAAUACCGCAUACGAUCUAUGGAUGAAAGCGGGGGAUCGCAAGACCUCGCGCGAUUGGAGCGGCCGAUAUCAGAUUAGGUAGUUGGUGAGGUAAAGGCUCACCAAGCCGACGAUCUGUAGCUGGUCUGAGAGGACGACCAGCCACACUGGGACUGAGACACGGCCCAGACUCCUACGGGAGGCAGCAGUGGGGAAUUUUGGACAAUGGGCGCAAGCCUGAUCCAGCAAUGCCGCGUGCAGGAUGAAGGCCUCGGUUGUAAACGUGCUUUGUUACGGUACGAAACGGU
This 417-nucleotide ribosomal RNA is filed under the name uncultured bacterium. RNAcentral's name for it is "bacterial SSU rRNA". It matches the Rfam family "Bacterial small subunit ribosomal RNA", at positions 30 to 454 of the family's 1533-position model. The record is from RNAcentral.